CACGGGGAAGCCAAGAGCUUGCCACUUUUAUUAAGGCAGACUGCAGUAGACAAUCAUUCCCUCACCCCUUAAACACGAGGACCCCUUGAAGAGAAACCAAAGGGAAAAUUCCAUAGUCACAGAGAGAAAAACAGUAAAAGCAAAGGAACAAUAUGCAGACAAGAUUCAGCCGAGGAUCAGAUAAAAGCAAAGAUUUCUCCCUGAGUAAGUCAUCGUAUGUCUCCGUAACAAAGUGAUGAUGGAACAAGAAGGUUGGCAAUGGUGGUUUGAUUGAGACAGGUCAUUGCUCAGCCUGAAUGAAACAUUUUAAACAUAUCUGUUGCUGUGAACACCUUACUUUGCCUCACACUCUAAAAUGAUCCUUUCUACUCACAGAGAAGCUUCUAAGUGUUACGGAGACAAGAUAUGAAGUCUAAAGUCAGUAGCAGUAAUGGAAAGUUGGGCUAAUGUGGAGAUAUUCCAAACAGAGCAAGAGCAAAUGGGAUUCUUGGCUUGUCUCUCAUCGUGAUCCUGAUUGAAGACCACUGGACACAUCUGUCAAGACUCUAACCGCAAUCCAUUGGAAAUCACUGGAGAGCCAAAGGAAAUGAAGUCUCAGACAUAUUGUCCAGGCUGGAAUGUAGCGGCUAUUCACAGGCAUGAUCAUAGUGCACUACAGCCUCAAACUCCUGGGCUCAAGCAAUCCUCCCAUCUCAAUGUCCGGAGUAGCUGGGACUACAGAUGUGUGUUAGCGGCUAUGGCAGCCAUCUUGUGACCAGGAGGAAGCUUCUGAGAAUCACAGAGAUGCAACCUCUGAAGCUGCCAAACCACUGCCAGCAGCUGCCUAACCACUGCCAGCAGCUGCCUAUCUCCAGACAUCUUGGUAGGUGAGAAAAAUAACCCCCUAUUCAUUUCAGUUCCCAGAACUUGGGAUUUCUGUUACUUUCGGCUAAAGGUUUUCUGGAUACAUCCCAGAUCACGCAUCUGCCUUUGCAUGGGCACACAUAAAUGGUCUUUGCUAAAUUUCUACUACUUGUCCUUUUCAUUCAACUUCUUAGUGUUCAGAGGUGUUCCCCUUUGUCUCUUCUCUGGGAUUUUGAAUUUAUGCUACUCUGCUUGAGGAAGCUCUGGAGACAUAUUCCUUAAUCACAACAUUCUGUGAAUAUUGAAAGCCUGGGCAAUGGAAAGAACAUUGGCCAGAAUGUCAGGUGGGGCAAGUUCCAUUCCUACCACUGUCACUCACUGUGUGUACUCAGAC
This 1237-nucleotide long non-coding RNA is filed under the name Homo sapiens (human). Its description in RNAcentral is "HSALNT0315776". The record is from RNAcentral. Lineage: Eukaryota; Metazoa; Chordata; Mammalia; Primates; Hominidae.